AAUCAUGCCUAGCUAUAAACAAAAAUUUUAUAGUAAAUUUUAAUAUGAUGAUGAUAUAUAUAUAUUAUUAUUAUUUAUAUCAUUAUAUCUUCUUUCACUGAUGAAAUCAUCAUGUUAUCAUUGAUCAGAUAGAAGCCGGACGUCCGGCCGAGUUUGAUUUCUGGGCAACGCGAAGAGUGCUGGCGAUGGUAUCCGGUUCACUACUACCAUCGUGGUCGAUGCGGUGUCAUCAGUGGUCUCUAAAUCAGUGUUAUCGUCGGUAUGGUCUUCGUCGGUUCCGCUGAUCAGAUUUGGACGGCAACGUCGCCGACAGCCCCUUCUUAUAGUCCUCUUUCUUCUCGACCUUCUCCUAGACAAUGCAUCUUUGUCGUCUUCUUCAACGUCCUUGCUGUAGUCGACAAUAAGUGUUGCUUAAUGAAACUCUCAAAUUCAAAGCAAUCAUCAGUAAUCGUGUGGGCAGAACGACGUGAAAGAACCCCAAAAAACAAAACAUAGGUGGUAUUACUGAAGCUUUGGACAACGUUGGUCAGUCAACCAGUAGUAUCAACGAUUUAAUAAUAUUAAGAUGUGGUCGUCGAUCAAGGGGUAGAGGUCAAGGAGUUGCAGGACGUGAGGCCGAUCGUGGUCUGGUCGCCGUCGAACAAGGAGACGUAGCAUCAGUAGUACCAAAGAAGACGAAGACGACGAUUACAGCACAGGCGCUGAAGAAGACUACGAAGAUGACGAUUCGUCAACGGUAGAUGCGUCGUCUAGGAGAAGGUCAAGAAGAAAGAGGAGUAGACGAAGGGGCAGUCAGCGACGUCGCCGUCUAAAUCAAAUCAGCGGAACCAACGAAGACGAUAUACCGACGAUAACAUCGACUUAGAGACCACCGAUGACACUACAUCGCCCAACGAUGGUAGUAGCGUUACCCUGUUUUAACUUAAUCUUCCAGAGAAUUUUAUGCAUUUUAAACCCGUUUAGUUGUAACUAAAUAUUCAAACUAAUAAAUAAUAAUAAAAUAAAACAAAUCAAGAAUAAUUAUAUAUUU
Molecule: long non-coding RNA, 1030 nt
Organism: Aphis gossypii (cotton aphid)
Lineage: Eukaryota; Metazoa; Arthropoda; Insecta; Hemiptera; Aphididae
Exons: 3
Source: RefSeq, a predicted model, not a curated record